UCAGCAGGCCGUCUCAUCGCUGGGGAUCGUAAUCUUCAGAGGAAAGUCCGGACACCAUAGGGCAGCAUAGCGGCUAACCGCCGUCAUCCCGAUCUAUCGGGAUAGGACCAGUGCAACAGAAAGCAAGUACAGGUAAGGCUGUAGUGAAAUCAGGUAAACUCUAUGCGGUGCAAUGCCAUGUAUACCCGCUGUUAAGUGCGGCUCGUGCGUGCGGGAGGGUAGGCAGCUCGAUCGUAUUAGCAAUAAUACGGCUAGAUAAAUGAUGAGAAUCUGCCUCGGCAGAUACAGAAUCCGGCUUAUAGGCCUGCUUUUUUU
This 315-nucleotide RNase P RNA is filed under the name Croceiramulus getboli. RNAcentral's name for it is "Flavobacteriaceae bacterium YJPT1-3 RNase P RNA component class A". It matches the Rfam family "Bacterial RNase P class A". Rfam says of the family: Ribonuclease P (RNase P) is a ubiquitous endoribonuclease, found in archaea, bacteria and eukarya as well as chloroplasts and mitochondria. The record is from RNAcentral. Lineage: Bacteria; Pseudomonadati; Bacteroidota; Flavobacteriia; Flavobacteriales; Flavobacteriaceae.